This 264-nucleotide ribosomal RNA is filed under the name uncultured bacterium. RNAcentral describes it as "partial 16S ribosomal RNA". It matches the Rfam family "Bacterial small subunit ribosomal RNA", at positions 92 to 353 of the family's 1533-position model. The record is from RNAcentral.
CGACCGGCGCACGGGUGAGUAACGCGUAUGCAACUUACCUAUCAGAGGGGGAUAACCCGGCGAAAGUCGGACUAAUACCGCAUGAAGCAGGGGCCCCGCAUGGGGAUAUUUGCUAAAGAUUCAUCGCUGAUAGAUAGGCAUGCGUUCCAUUAGGCAGUUGGCGGGGUAACGGCCCACCAAACCGACGAUGGAUAGGGGUUCUGAGAGGAAGGUCCCCCACAUUGGUACUGAGACACGGACCAAACUCCUACGGGAGGCAGCAUG